RNAcentral lists this ribosomal RNA (377 nucleotides) under Eremothecium coryli. Its description in RNAcentral is "eukaryotic LSU rRNA". It matches the Rfam family "Eukaryotic large subunit ribosomal RNA", at positions 2971 to 3344 of the family's 3401-position model. The record is from RNAcentral. Lineage: Eukaryota; Fungi; Ascomycota; Saccharomycetes; Saccharomycetales; Saccharomycetaceae.
UCGUGAGACAGGUUAGUUUUACCCUACUGAUGAAUGUUAUCGCAAUAGUAAUUGAACUUAGUACGAGAGGAACAGUUCAUUCGGAUAAUUGGUUUUUGCGGCUGUCCGACCGGGCAUUGCCGCGAAGCUACCAUCCGCUGGAUUAUGGCUGAACGCCUCUAAGUCAGAAUCCAUGCUAGAAAGCGAUGAUUCUUUUGCCUCGCACAUUAUAGAUGGAUACGAAUAAGGUGCUUUUAGCAUCGCAGAACCAUAGCAGGCUGGCAGUGGUGCUCUUGACGGAAAGGUCUUGGGUGCUUGCCGGCGAAUUGCAAUGUCAUACUGCGCGAGGAUAAAUCAUUUGUAUACGACUUAGAUGUACAACGGGGUAUUGUAAGCAG